AGUGGAUGGGGAGCAACCUAGUUGUGCGUGUGUAAAGGUGGUGCCAAGAAAAGCGAUGAUCAUGUUGAAAAUCAAUUCCCGGUACCCGAAACCGACACAGGUGGGCAAGUAGAGAAUACUAAGGGGCGCGAGGUAACUCUCUCCAAGGAACUCGGCAAAAUGACCCCGUAACUUAGGGAGAAGGGGUGCCACCGAGAGGUGGUCGCAGUGAAUAGGCCCAGGCGACUGUUUAGCAAAAACAUAGGUCUCUGCAAACUCGAAAGAGGAGGUAUAGGGGCUGACGCCUGCCCAGUGCCGGAAGGUUAAAGAAGUUGGUCAGUUUUAGGAUGAAGCUAGCGACUGAAGCCCCGGUGAACGGCGGCCGUAACUAUAACGGUCCUAAGGUAGCGAAAUUCCUUGUCGGGUAAGUUCCGACCCGCACGAAAGGCGUAACGAUCUGGGCGCUGUCUCGGAGAGAGGCUCGGCGAAAUAGGAUUGUCUGUGAAGAUACGGACUACCUGCAUUUGGACAGAAAGACCCUAUGAAGCUUUACUAUAGCUUGGAAUUGUGUUCGGGCUUCCUGUGCGCAGGAUAGGUGGGAGGCGUAGAAGGUAUUCUUGUGGGGAUACUGGAGCCAACGGUGAGAUACCACUCUCAGGAGGCUAGAAUUCUAACUUAAUUAAGGACAGUUUCAGGUGGGUAGUUUGACUGGGGCGGUCGCCUCCAAAAAGGUAACGGAGGCGUACAAAGGUUCCCUCAGACUGGUUGGAAAUCAGUCGAAGAGUGCAAAGGCAGAAGGGAGCUUGACUGCGAGAAAUACAGUUCGAGCAGGGUGGAAACACGGUCUUAGUGAUCCGACGGUGCUGUGUGGAAGGGCCGUCGCUCAACGGAUAAAAGUUACUCUAGGAUAACAGGCUGAUCUCCCCCAAGAGUUCACAUCGACGGGGAGGUCUGGCACCUCGAUGUCGGCUCAUCGCAACCUGGGGCGGAAGUACGUCCCAAGGGUUGGGCUGUUCGCCCAUUAAAGCGGUACGUGAGCUGGGUUCAGAACGUCGUGAGACAGUUCGGUCCAUAUCCGAUGUAGGCGUGAGAAUAUUGAGAGGAGCCUUCCUUAGUACGAGAGGACCGGGAAGGACGCACCGCUGGUGUACCUGUUAUGAUGCCAAUUGUAAACGCAGGGUAGCCAAGUGCGGAGAGGAUAACCGCUGAAAGCAUCUAAGUGGGAAGCCCACCUCAAGAUGAGUAUUCUGGUGUAAGGUCACGGGAAGACGACCCGUAAAUAGGCACGAGGUGGAAGUGCAGAGAUGUAUGAAGCCGAAGAGUACUAAUAGACCGUCGGCUUGA
RNAcentral lists this ribosomal RNA (1323 nucleotides) under metagenome. RNAcentral's name for it is "bacterial LSU rRNA". It matches the Rfam family "Bacterial large subunit ribosomal RNA", at positions 1561 to 2925 of the family's 2925-position model. The record is from RNAcentral.